This 698-nucleotide ribosomal RNA is filed under the name uncultured bacterium. RNAcentral's name for it is "bacterial SSU rRNA". It matches the Rfam family "Bacterial small subunit ribosomal RNA", at positions 184 to 882 of the family's 1533-position model. The record is from RNAcentral.
UAGAAGACAUCUGAAGGAGAUUAAAGAUUUAUCGGUGAUGGAUGGGGAUGCGUCUGAUUAGCUUGUUGGCGGGGUAACGGCCCACCAAGGCGACGAUCAGUAGGGGUUCUGAGAGGAAGGUCCCCCACAUUGGAACUGAGACACGGUCCAAACUCCUACGGGAGGCAGCAGUGAGGAAUAUUGGUCAAUGGGCGAGAGCCUGAACCAGCCAAGUAGCGUGCAGGAUGACGGCCCUAUGGGUUGUAAACUGCUUUUAUAAGGGAAUAAAGUGAGUCUUGUGAGACUUUUUGCAUGUACCUUAUGAAUAAGGACCGGCUAAUUCCGUGCCAGCAGCCGCGGUAAUACGGAAGGUCCGGGCGUUAUCCGGAUUUAUUGGGUUUAAAGGGAGCGUAGGCCGGAGAUUAAGCGUGUUGUGAAAUGUAGAUGCUCAACAUCUGCACUGCAGCGCGAACUGGUUUCCUUGAGUACGCACAAAGUGGGCGGAAUUCGUGGUGUAGCGGUGAAAUGCUUAGAUAUCACGAAGAACUCCGAUUGCGAAGGCAGCUCACUGGAGCGCAACUGACGCUGAAGCUCGAAAGUGCGGGUAUCGAACAGGAUUAGAUACCCUGGUAGUCCGCACGGUAAACGAUGGAUGCCCGCUGUUGGUCUGAAUAGGUCAGCGGCCAAGCGAAAGCAUUAAGCAUCCCACCUGGGGAGUA